Non-coding RNA from Colletotrichum phormii, 84 nucleotides. Lineage: Eukaryota; Fungi; Ascomycota; Sordariomycetes; Glomerellales; Glomerellaceae. The record is from the annotation of a RefSeq genome assembly.
GGUUGUAUAGUGUAGCGGUUAUCACUCCAGAUUUUGAUUAUAUCAAAACUUCUGGUAACCCCGGUUCGAACCCGGGUACGACCU